GACCCUCUGAGAUAGACAGAUGGACAGAUAGAGAGUGAGGACCCUCUGAGAUAGACAGAUGGACAGAUAGAGAGUGAGGACCCUCUGAGAUAGACAGAUGGACAGAUAGAGAGUGAGGACCCUCUGAGAUAGACAGAUGGACAGAUAGAGAGUGAGGACCCUCUGAGAUAGACAGAUGGACAGAUAGAGAGUGAGGACCCUCUGAGAUAGACAGAUGGACAGAUAGAGAGUGAGGACCCUCUGAGAUAGACAGAUGGACAGAUAGAGAGGGAGGACCCUCUGAGAUAGACAGAUGGACAGAUAGAGAGUGAGGACCCUCUGAGAUAGACAGAUGGACAGAUAGAGAGUGAGGACCCUCUGAGAUAGACAGAUGGACAGAUAGAGAGUGAGAACCCUCUGAGAUAGACAGAUGGACAGGUAGAGAUAGAGAACCCUCUGAGAUAGUCAGAUGGACAGAUAGAGAUAGAGAACCCUCUGAGAUAGACAGAUGGACAGAUAGAGAUAGAGAACCCUCUGAGAUAGACAGAUGGACAGAUAGAGAGGGAGGACCCUCUGAGAUAGACAGAUGGACAGAUAGAGAGGGAGGACCCUCUGAGAUAGACAGAUGGACAGAUAGAGAGUGAGAACCCUCUGAGAUAGACAGAUGGACAGAUAGAGAGUGAGGACCCUCUGAGAUAGACAGAUGGACAGGUAGAGAGUGAGGAGUGGAUGUUCAACUCACUCAUUUGGAUCAAAACACUGGGAAGUAAAAAAAAAAAAAAUUAACAAAAAAAAAAUACAAAUACACAAAGAUAAAGGCAACACUCAUUAUAUGUUUACGUUAGGAUCCAAUGUCCGAUAUACCUAUAAAGAGAUAAGACACGUUAAUAAAAAGAAAUGUAAAGAGAAAUUUAAAAAACACAUGCAAGUUACAGAGAAGUCUGGUAACGGUAGGAGGAAAAGGUUAAGAGUUCAGAGAGACGUACCAAGGACAAGGAUGGGUAGACAUCCAUUGAGACUGUGAAUGGAUGACGAACAUAAACAUACAGGACGAUAAAAGCGUCUGCUAAAUGGCAUAUAUUAUUAUUAUUAU
Oncorhynchus keta (chum salmon) is the source of this 1072-nucleotide long non-coding RNA. RefSeq lists it as uncharacterized. The record is from RefSeq and is a predicted model, not a curated record. Lineage: Eukaryota; Metazoa; Chordata; Actinopteri; Salmoniformes; Salmonidae. The transcript is spliced from 3 exons.